RNAcentral lists this long non-coding RNA (3401 nucleotides) under Triticum aestivum (bread wheat). RNAcentral describes it as "long non-coding RNA (TAES_LNC020372)". Lineage: Eukaryota; Viridiplantae; Streptophyta; Magnoliopsida; Poales; Poaceae. The record is from RNAcentral.
CGCAUAGUAGGCAUGUCGCAAGAGGGGUAAUCUUUACACAUCCCAUGUACUGAAUAUGAAAGGGAUAAAGAGUUGGCUUACAACCGCCACUUCACACAAUACAUAAAUAUAGCAUUACAUCAUCCAGAAUACAAUCAAGGUCCGACUACGGAACCAAAUAAAUAAAGACAACCCCAAAUGCAUAGAUCCCCGAUCGUCCCGACUGGGCUCCACUACUGAUCAACUAGAAACGAAACAACACAACAAACACAAUCUUCAUCGAGCUCCCACUUGAGCUCAGUUGCGUCAUCUGCAAUGGUAUCAUCGUCACCUGCAACUGUUUGGAAGUAUCUGUGAGUCACGAGGACUCAGCAAUCUCACACCCGCGAAAUCAAGACUAUUUAAACUUAUGGGUAGGAAAAGGUAGUCAGGUGGAGCUGCAGCAAGCACUAGCAUAUAUGGUGGCUAACUUACGCAACUGAGAGCGAGAAGAGAAGCAAAGCAUAUGCGAGAAGCUAUAAGAUCAAGAAGUGAUCCUGAAACUACUUACAUUCAAGCAUAACACAAGAACCAUGUUCACUUCCCGGACUCCGCCGAAAAGAGACCAUCAUGGCUACACACGCGGUUGAUGCAUUUUAAUUAAGUUAAGUGUUAGGUUUUCUACAACCGGAUAUUAACAAAUUCUCAUCUACCCAUAACCGCGGGCACGGCUUCCGAAAGUUCAAACCAUGCAGGGGUGUCCCAACUUAGCCCAUCACAAGCUCUCACGGUCAACUAAGGAUAUUCCUUCUCCCAGGAAGACCCGAUCAGACUCGAAAUCCCGGUUACAAGACAUUUCAACAAUGGUAAAACAAGACCAGCAAAGCCGCCCGAAUGUGCCGACAAAUCCCGAUAGGAGCUGCACAUAUCUCGUUCUCGGGGCACAUCGGAUGAGCAAUCCGUACAACUAAAACCAACCCUCAAGUUUCCCCGAGGUGGCGCUGUAAGGGGCUCUAGUUUGGACCAACACUCAGAGGAGCACUGGCCCCGGGGGUUAAAAUAAAGAUGACCCUCGGGCUCCAGAAACCCAAGGGAAAAAGGCUAGGUUGUUAGGCAAAUGUAAAACCAAGGUUGGGCCUUGCUAGAGGAGUUUUAUUCAAGGCGAACUGUCAAGGGGUUCCCAUUACAACCCAACCACGUUAGGAACACAAAAUAAAGGAACAUAACACCGGUAUGACAGAAACUAGGGCGGCAAGAGUGGAACAAAACACCAGGCAUAAGGCCAAGCCUUCCAUCCUUUACCAAGUAUAUAGGUGCAUUAAUUAAAUAAGAGAUAUUGUGAUAUCCCAACAUAUCCAUGUUCCAACAUGGAACAAACUUCAUCUUCACCUGCAACUAGCAACGCUAUAAAAGGGGAGGGGCUGAGCAAAGUGGUAACAUAGCCAAACAACGGUUUGCUAUGAAAAGGUGGGUUAGAGGCUUGACAUGGCAAUAUGAGAGGCAUGAUAAAGCAAGUGAUAGGUAUCGCGGCAUAGCAAUAGAGCGAGAAACUAAGCAAGCAAAGAUAGAAGUGAUUUUGAGGGUAUGAUCAUCUUGCCUGAGAUCACGCAAGGAAGAAGAACGAGUCCAUGAAGAAGACAAACAGACGUAGUCGAACGGAUCCUCACAAACGCGACGUUAUCGGAACUAACCCGAAGAAGCAACACCGGAAAGAAGCAAACAACAUAGUAAACAACCAUCACAUAAGCAUGGCAUGAUGCACAAUCAAGUAUGAUGCAUGUCCGGUUUAAUGAGGCAUGGCAUGGCAAAGUGCACAAACAAUACUACGAAUUAAGUGGAGCACAAUAUGCAACGAGUUGCAUAUUGACAGAACACCACAUGACUUAUUUAGUUCUCUCUCGUUUAGGUACCCAACAAUAUUAAAAGUUGUUAAACAUGGUAAGAUAUGAAGCAUAAUAAAACUAACUAACUAGGCAAGUUUAAAUGAGGCCGGAAACAACAAGCAACAAGUCCGGAAAAAUUCUCAUGAGCAUAUAUUAGAUUUGGUACUGUUCUGGCCUAAAGCAUAUUUUAGAGUUGUUAAACAUGGAAAGUAAAGCCACCAUGUUAAACUAGGUAUUUUUCUACCCCAUUUACAUAUAAAGUUUGUUAAAUUUGGACCUACGGUUAAUUAGUUAUGAAUCAAAUCAUUUUAGCAUGGCAAUUGGCAAAAUAAAGCAAAUAACAAGUUUAAACAUUUUUAACAUGCAUGAAAGUUGCAUAUUAUGAAACUAGGCAAAAUUCUAAGCAAGUUACAUAUAUAAAACAUUUUAAUAUGAUGCAUGGUUGAUGAGUUUUUAUAUGCAUGAAGUGCAAGGGUUUUUCUGCAAAUCUGUAAAUCCCUGGUAAUUAGCAAAUUCGCAGAACAACAAAAAACAUUCACUGGGCUGAAACUUGCUGGCCCAACAGGAACAGGGGAUCUGGAGGGGUCUGCUCACAUCGGGCCUAGCAGGCCGAAACUAAAGCUGGGCCAGAGAGGAGGCGCACUGGCCCGACGGGGAAACAUCACGGGCCGACCGGAUCUGACCGAUGCGGUCAACGCGGUUGCUGCAGCGCUCAUCGUCUCGUUCCUGAAGCGGGGAAUGAGCGAUGCAGGGGAGCUGGCGCGGUCAACGCCGAAGAAACAGGAGCCUUGGCGCGGCCGCGACGCAGAGGACGCAGCGGCGGCCUAGCGUUUCUUAGGACUCCGGCGAAAAACGGCGCGACGGGGAGGUCGAAGGCACUGGUGAGCUCGGGGAGGAUCCAGGCGCGAAAGGUCUUCGGGUCCCAUUUCCUGCCGGAUCGAAGCGGAGGCAGCGGCAUGGCGGACAUGGCGCCAACGCGGGCGAAGGUGAGGAGCUCCCAAGCGACGAAGAGGAUGCAGGGUGCCAUGAGGACGGGCGCGGGGACCUUGGGACCUGGCGUCCAUGGCAGAGGCAGCGGCGCUGGAGGGUCCUGGUGGCCGGAUCCGCGACGCGGCGGGGCAGACGGGGUCCUGGAGGCGUUCAGGCAUCCAUGGCAACCUGUGAGACACAGAGAGAAAGAGAGAGAUGUGAGAGGAGGGAGCAGCAGGGAGAGAUGGAGGGAAGGAGAGCAGCGGCAGGGCUCAUCUGCUCGAGCAAGGUGGUGCGCAAGGGGCUCGGUUGUUGGAGAAUCGAAGUGAAGCAGAGGGGGCCGGUGGUUGGUGGGGAGAGAUCGAGAGGAAUUUUGGAUCUAGGACACUCACAUUGAUUGGAUGGGGAUGGAUCCCGAGGUGGGAGAGGUAGUUGGCCCGAUGGGGAUAACAAGGAAGGAGGCUGGUUGGGUGGCUCGAUCGAGAGGAUCAGGCAAGAACCAGGAAGAGUGGGUGGCAGCGGCGGGGAGGAUUUGAUGGAUGGAUGGGACAGGGCUAGGGUUAGACUAUAUAUAUAUCCGAUGAAAUUAGG